AAGUCGUAACAAGGUUUCCGUAGGUGAGCCUGCGGAAGGAUCAUUAUCGAGAGAGGGGCUUCGCGCUCCCGGGGGUUUCGGCCCCCCAACUCUUCACCCAUUGUCAACAUACCCCUUGUUGCUUUUGGCGGGAUUUCCGGGGGUAUGUCUUGCGUAGGUUUGUCAUAAAACCCCGUGCCGAGAUGUGCCCCCGGCGCCCGCCGGAGGCCCAUUAAAAUCUGUUUAUCAGUGAUGUCCCGAGUAAAAAACCAAUAAUAAAA
Molecule: unclassified non-coding RNA, 260 nt
Filed under: plant metagenome
Description: partial contains small subunit ribosomal RNA and internal transcribed spacer 1
Rfam family: Eukaryotic small subunit ribosomal RNA (bases 1-46)
Source: RNAcentral